This 90-nucleotide transfer RNA is filed under the name Ictidomys tridecemlineatus (thirteen-lined ground squirrel). RNAcentral describes it as "Spermophilus tridecemlineatus (thirteen-lined ground squirrel) tRNA". It matches the Rfam family "tRNA". Rfam says of the family: Transfer RNA (tRNA) molecules are approximately 80 nucleotides in length. Their secondary structure includes four short double-helical elements and three loops (D, anti-codon, and T loops). Lineage: Eukaryota; Metazoa; Chordata; Mammalia; Rodentia; Sciuridae. The record is from Rfam by way of RNAcentral.
GGGGGUAUAGCUCAGUGGUAGAGCACUUACCUAGCAUGUGCAAAGGCCCUAGUAUGUACAAGCCCCUGGGUUAGAUCCCCAGUACCACAA